UAGGGAAUCUUCCACAAUGGACGCAAGUCUGAUGGAGCAACGCCGCGUGAGUGAAGAAGGUCUUCGGAUCGUAAAACUCUGUUGUUAGAGAAGGACACGAGUGAGAGUAACUGUUCAUUCGAUGACGGUAUCUAACCAGCAAGUCACGGCUAACUACGUGCCAGCAGCCGCGGUAAUACGUAGGUGGCAAGCGUUGUCCGGAUUUAUUGGGCGUAAAGGGAACGCAGGCGGUCUUUUAAGUCUGAUGUGAAAGCCUUCGGCUUAACCGGAGUAGUGCAUUGGAAACUGGAAGACUUGAGUGCAGAAGAGGAGAGUGGAACUCCAUGUGUAGCGGUGAAAUGCGUAGAUAUGUGGAAGAACACCAGUGGCGAAAGCGGCUCUCUGGUCUGUAACUGACGCUGAGGUUCGAAAGCGUGGGUAGCAAACAGGAUUAGAUACCCUGGUAGUCCACGCCGUAAACGAUGAAUGCUAGGUGUUGGAGGGUUUCCGCCCUUCAGUGCCGCAGCUAACGCAAUAAGCAUUCCGCCUGGGGAGUACGACCGCAAGGUUG
Molecule: ribosomal RNA, 550 nt
Filed under: uncultured bacterium
Lineage: Bacteria
Description: bacterial SSU rRNA
Rfam family: Bacterial small subunit ribosomal RNA
Source: RNAcentral